UUAAUCAGGAAAUGGACUCUACAAGGUGUAGAAAGUGUUCCACAGGGAUGCUGGCCCAUGUUGACUCUACAAGGUGUCUAAAGCGUUCCACAGGGAUGCUGGCCCAUGUUGACUCUACAAGGUGUCUAAAGCGUUCCACAGGGAUGCUGGCCCAUGUUGACUCUACAAGGUGUCUAAAGCGUUCCACAGGGAUGCUGGCCCAUGUUGACUCUACAAGGUGUUGAAAGCGUUCCACAGGGAUGCUGGCCCAUGUUGACUCUACAAGGUGUCUAAAGCGUUCCACAGGGAUGCUGGUCCAUGUUGACUCUACAAGGUGUCUAAAGCGUUCCACAGGGAUGCUGGCCCAUGUUGACUCUACAAGGUGUCUAAAGCGUUCCACAGGGAUGCUGGUCCAUGUUGACUCUACAAGGUGUCUAAAGCGUUCCACAGGGAUGCUGGUCCAUGUUGACUCUACAAGGUGUCUAAAGCGUUCCACAGGGAUGCUGGUCCAUGUUGACUCUACAAGGUGUUGAAAGCGUUCCACAGGGAUGCUGGCCCAUGUUGACUCUACAAGGUGUUGAAAGCGUUCCACAGGGAUGCUGGCCCAUGUUGACUCUACAAGGUGUUGAAAGCGUUCCACAGGGAUGCUGGCCCAUGUUGACUCUACAAGGUGUUGAAAGCGUUCCACAGGGAUGCUGGCCCAUGUUGACUCUACAAGGUGUCUAAAGCGUUCCACAGGGAUGCUGGCCCAUGUUGACUCUACAAGGUGUUGAAAGCGUUCCACAGGGAUGCUGGCCCAUGUUGACUCUACAAGGUGUCUAAAGCGUUCCACAGGGAUGCUGGCCCAUGUUGACUCUACAAGGUGUCUAAAGCGUUCCACAGGGAUGCUGGCCCAUGUUGACUCUACAAGGUGUGGAAAGCGUUCCACAGGGAUGCUGGCCCAUGUCGACUCCAAUGCUUCCCACAGUUGUGUCAAGUUGUCUGGAUGUGUUUUGGCUGGUGGACCAUUCUCGAUACACACGGGAAACUGUUGAGUGUGAAAAACCCAGCAGCGUU
Molecule: RNA transcript, 1035 nt
Organism: Oncorhynchus keta (chum salmon)
Lineage: Eukaryota; Metazoa; Chordata; Actinopteri; Salmoniformes; Salmonidae
Exons: 5
Source: RefSeq, a predicted model, not a curated record